GUCUAUGGUCAUGCUAACCUAACAAGCUCAAUCCCAUCUGAUCUAGGAAGCUAAGCAGGGUCAGGCCUGGUUAGUACUUGGAUGGGAGACCAUGUACAAAGACCAGGUGCUGCAGAUG
RNAcentral lists this ribosomal RNA (118 nucleotides) under Pteropus alecto (black flying fox). Lineage: Eukaryota; Metazoa; Chordata; Mammalia; Chiroptera; Pteropodidae. The record is from RNAcentral.